CCUAAUUACAGUGUAUUUGUUUUAUCCGAGAUUACAAAUAAAUCCAUUGAUUUUUUGGGAUCACUAACCACAACCUGUACAUUGAUUUUUUUUUGGACUUACAAUCAACCUAGUUGGUUUUAUGGGUUCAUCAAUUAUAAUCUUAUAUCGAUUGUUUUCUGAACUCACAAUCAAUCCAAUUGAUUUUAUGGGAUAACCAAACCAACUUAACAAGUCCAAUUCUAGGCUUGG
This 231-nucleotide long non-coding RNA is filed under the name Elaeis guineensis (African oil palm). Its description in RNAcentral is "long non-coding RNA (EGUI_LNC044872)". Lineage: Eukaryota; Viridiplantae; Streptophyta; Magnoliopsida; Arecales; Arecaceae. The record is from RNAcentral.